Molecule: ribosomal RNA, 406 nt
Filed under: uncultured bacterium
Lineage: Bacteria
Description: partial 16S ribosomal RNA
Rfam family: Bacterial small subunit ribosomal RNA
Source: RNAcentral
AUUGAACGCUGGCGGCAGGCCUAACACAUGCAAGUCGAACGAGUGGCGGACGGGUGAGUAAUGUCUGGGAAACUGCCUGGUGGAGGGGGCUAACUAGUGGAAACGGUAGCUAAUACCGCAUACCAUCAGAUGUGCCCAGAUGGGAUUAGCUUGUCGGUGGGGUAACGGCUCACCAAGGCGACGAUCCCUACCUGGUCUGAGAGGAUGACCAGCCACACUGGAACUGAGACACGGUCCAGACUCCGACGGGAGGCAGCAGUGGGGACUCUUGCACAAUGGGCGCAAGCCUGAUGGAGCAAUGCCGCGUGUAUGAAGAAGGCCUUCGGGUUGUAAAGUACUUUCAGCGGGGAGGCGUUACCUGCAGAAGAAGCACCGGCUAACUCCGUGCCAGCAGCCGUGGUAAUUC